Molecule: unclassified non-coding RNA, 452 nt
Filed under: uncultured Glomus
Lineage: Eukaryota; Fungi; Glomeromycota; Glomeromycetes; Glomerales; Glomeraceae
Description: SSU rRNA
Rfam family: Eukaryotic small subunit ribosomal RNA
Source: RNAcentral
CGCAGCCGCGGUAAUUCCAGCUCCAAUAGCGUAUAUUAAAGUUGCUGCAGUUAAAAAGCUCGUAGUUGAAUUUCGGGACCAUCAUGUUGGUCGUGCCUCGGUACGUACUGGCAUUGUUGGUUUCUCCCUUCUGACGAACCAUGAUGUCAUUUAUUUGGUGUCGUGGGAAAUCAGGACUGUUACUUUGAAAAAAUUAGAGUGUUUAAAGCAGGCUCACGCUUGAAUACAUUAGCAUGGAAUAAUGAAAUAGGACGUUUGAUUCUAUUUUGUUGGUUUCUAGGAUCGACGUAAUGAUUAAUAGGGAUAGUUGGGGGCAUUAGUAUUCAAUUGUCAGAGGUGAAAUUCUUGGAUUUAUUGAAGACUAACUACUGCGAAAGCAUUUGCCAAGGAUGUUUUCAUUAAUCAAGAACGAAAGUUAGGGGAUCGAAGACGAUCAGAUACCGUCGUAGUCU